This 559-nucleotide ribosomal RNA is filed under the name Bolbitius aleuriatus. RNAcentral describes it as "eukaryotic LSU rRNA". The stretch from base 221 to 374 matches the Rfam family "5.8S ribosomal RNA". The record is from RNAcentral. Lineage: Eukaryota; Fungi; Basidiomycota; Agaricomycetes; Agaricales; Bolbitiaceae.
CCGGGAGCACUUGUGCACGUCUGUCUUUUUUAUCUUACCACCUGUGCACACUUUGUAGAUCUGGAGGCAUCUUCACAGACUCUGUCUGUGGUUUUAUGGGGAGCUGUCGUGCCUUUGUGUCGACUCUCUCUGGUCUUUUCAGGUCUAUGUUUUUACAUCAACUCCAUUGCAUGUAAAGAAUGAAUCUAUGGCAGCUUCAUGCAGCCUAUAAAACUAGUACAACUUUCAGCAACGGAUCUCUUGGCUCUCGCAUCGAUGAAGAACGCAGCGAAAUGCGAUAAGUAAUGUGAAUUGCAGAAUUCAGUGAAUCAUCGAAUCUUUGAACGCACCUUGCGCUCCUUGGUAUUCCGAGGAGCAUGCCUGUUUGAGUGUCAUUAAAUUCUCAACCAUCCCAUUUUCUUUCGAACUUGGGCUGUGUUGGAUGUGGGGAUCUGCCGGCGCUUAUUACUUAAGACUUGGCUUUCCUUAAAUGUAUUAGCUAGAGCUCUUCUGUUGACUAGCCGCUAGUGUGAUAAUUAUCUACACUGUGACCAAGGUCAGCCUUUGAAAUGAAGGAACU